This 66-nucleotide transfer RNA is filed under the name Allenopithecus nigroviridis (Allen's swamp monkey). RNAcentral's name for it is "tRNA-Lys". The record is from RNAcentral. Lineage: Eukaryota; Metazoa; Chordata; Mammalia; Primates; Cercopithecidae.
CACUGCAUAGCUACUCUAGCAUUAACCUUUUAAGUUAAAGAUUGAGAGGUAUACUCUCUGCAGCGA